AGAUUGAACGCUGGCGGCAUGCCUUACACAUGCAAGUCGAACGGCAGCACGGGAGCAAUCCUGGUGGCGAGUGGCGAACGGGUGAGUAAUACAUCGGAACGUGCCCAAUCGUGGGGGAUAACGCAGCGAAAGCUGUGCUAAUACCGCAUAAGAUCUACGGAUGAAAGCAGGGGAUCGCAAGACCUUGCGCGAAUGGAGCGGCCGAUGGCAGAUUAGGUAGUUGGUGAGGUAAAGGCUCACCAAGCCUUCGAUCUGUAGCUGGUCUGAGAGGACGACCAGCCACACUGGGACUGAGACACGGCCCAGACUCCUACGGGAGCAGCAGUGGGGAAUUUUGGACAAUGGGCGCAAGCCUGAUCCAGCAAUGCCGCGUGCAGGAGAAGGCUGGUUGUAACUGCUUUGUACGACGAACGGUCUAGGUUAAUACCUCGGCUAAUGACGGUACCGUAAGAAUAAGCACCGGCUAACUACGU
Molecule: ribosomal RNA, 473 nt
Filed under: uncultured soil bacterium
Lineage: Bacteria
Description: bacterial SSU rRNA
Rfam family: Bacterial small subunit ribosomal RNA
Source: RNAcentral